This 500-nucleotide ribosomal RNA is filed under the name uncultured bacterium. Its description in RNAcentral is "partial 16S ribosomal RNA". It matches the Rfam family "Bacterial small subunit ribosomal RNA", at positions 30 to 523 of the family's 1533-position model. The record is from RNAcentral.
AUUGAACGCUGGCGGCAUGCCUUACACAUGCAAGUCGAACGGCAGCACGGGAGCAAUCCUGGUGGCGAGUGGCGAACGGGUGAGUAAAGUAUCGGAACGUGCCCAGUCGUGGGGGAUAACGUAGCGAAAGUUACGCUAAUACCGCAUACGAUCUAUGGAUGAAAGCGGGGGAUCGCAAGACCUCGCGCGAUUGGAGCGGCCGAUAUCAGAUUAGGUAGUUGGUGGGGUAAAGGCUCACCAAGCCGACGAUCUGUAGCUGGUCUGAGAGGACGACCAGCCACACUGGGACUGAGCCACGGCCCGGACUCCUACGGGAGGCAGCAGGGGGGAAUUUUGGACAAUGGGCGAAAGCCUGAUCCAGCCAUGCCGCGUGCAGGAUGAGGGCCUUCGGGUUGUAAACUGCUUUUGUACGGAACGAAAAGGUUUGGCCUAAUAAGCUGAGCUCAUGACGGUACCGUAAGAAUAAACACCGGCUAACUACGUGCCAGCCGCCGCCGCAG